RNAcentral lists this long non-coding RNA (1001 nucleotides) under Homo sapiens (human). RNAcentral's name for it is "HSALNT0356138". The record is from RNAcentral. Lineage: Eukaryota; Metazoa; Chordata; Mammalia; Primates; Hominidae.
GGCAGAAGGUGAAAUCUGUGUAUUCCUGGGGCCCCGACUUUGGAUGUUCUUGCAGAUACCUUAGCAUAACUAACAGAGAUCAUAAUGAAAACACUGGCAUUGUGUGCAUUUUAAACCAUCAUUGUCACUUGUCAAGCCCUACAGUCAUGCCUGAAGAAGGCAGGCAGCCUCAGCAACUGUACGUGACGGGGCAUGCUUGCCUUCUGCAUGUAGCAAGAACCUUGCAGACAGCUGAAAUCUGAGGCAUUCACACAGACAGGCUAAAAGCUCAGGAAGACUGCAUGAGGGUUAUUUUAAAAAGUGCUAAGGAAACAGUGCUCCCAUUUAAAUAGAUGAAGAUUCCCUUCCUGUUUUACUAUAAAUAUUUCCUUUUCUCUUUCAGUCCAGAACUAGUGCUUUUAACCUUUGGAAGAUGUAAAAAAAAAAAAAAAAAAUGCCUUCUUUAAAGGAAACAUUUCUAUGGGUUUAUCAGUAUUACUGCCUAAUGUGAGAAGCAUUUUCACACCUAUUAUUCAUGAACUGAGGUGGCAAGAGGAGGGAGCAGUUCCUGCCAGGUGCGGUUAACAAAUAUGUCACACGCAUCAUCUAUUACAUAGGUGAUAUCUCACGUAAUCCUCAGAAUACCCCUUUUGAAGUCGCUUCUAUUAGUAUCCUCCUUUGACAGACGAGGAAAUGAAGCACAGAGAAGGUCAAGGUCCAGGCUGGAAGGGGACCACUUCGAAUCUUGAAUGCAGGGGCAAACAGCUCAAGACACCAUGGCUGAUGAAGACGCUAUGUACACGCUUUCCAGUAUGAAAACCAAUGAGCUACAUGGGGCUGGCGAACACUUGAAAGGUGGUGAGUUAGAGUUGAGAUGUGCUGGACGUGUAAAAUAAUACAUCCUGGAGUUUGAAGACUUUUGUAUAAAAUUACUUAAGAUAUCUGAAUUUUUCAAAUGUCGAUUUUUUGUUGAAAUGAUAUUUGAACAGAUUGGAUUAAAUAAAAUGUAUUAUUAAAAUUAA